This 468-nucleotide ribosomal RNA is filed under the name uncultured bacterium. RNAcentral's name for it is "partial 16S ribosomal RNA". It matches the Rfam family "Bacterial small subunit ribosomal RNA", at positions 28 to 507 of the family's 1533-position model. The record is from RNAcentral.
GACGAACGCUGGCGGCGUGCUUAACACAUGCAAGUCGAACGGAAAGGCCCUGCUUUUGUGGGGUGCUCGAGUGGCGAACGGGUGAGUAACACGUGAGUAACCUGCCCUUGACUUUGGGAUAACUUCAGGAAACUGGGGCUAAUACCGGAUAGGAGCUCCUGCUGCAUGGUGGGGGUUGGAAAGUUUCGGCGGUUGGGGAUGGACUCGCGGCUUAUCAGCUUGUUGGUGGGGUAGUGGCUGACCAAGGCUUUGACGGGUAGCCGGCCUGAGAGGGUGACCGGCCACCUUGGGCCUGAGAUACGGCCCAGACUCCUACGGGAGGCAGCAGUGGGGAGUAUUGCACAAUGGGCCGACGCCUGAUGCAGCAACGCCGCGUGCGGAAUGACGGCCUUCGGGUUGUAAACCGCUUUCGCCUGUGACGAAGCGUGAGUGACGGUAAUGGGUAAAGAAGCACCGGCUAACUACGUG